GGGGAUAUAGCUCAGUUGGUUAGAGCGCUAGCUUUGCAAGCUAGAAGUCAGGGGUUCGAAUCCCCUUAUCUCCA
RNAcentral lists this transfer RNA (74 nucleotides) under Treponema sp. RNAcentral describes it as "tRNA-Ala". It matches the Rfam family "tRNA". From Rfam's summary of the family: Transfer RNA (tRNA) molecules are approximately 80 nucleotides in length. Their secondary structure includes four short double-helical elements and three loops (D, anti-codon, and T loops). Further hydrogen bonds mediate the characteristic L-shaped molecular structure. tRNAs have two regions of fundamental functional importance: the anti-codon, which is responsible for specific mRNA codon recognition, and the 3' end, to which the tRNAs corresponding amino acid is attached (by aminoacyl-tRNA synthetases). tRNAs cope with the degeneracy of the genetic code in two manners: having more than one tRNA (with a specific anti-codon) for a particular amino acid; and 'wobble' base-pairing, i.e. permitting non-standard base-pairing at the 3rd anti-codon position. The record is from RNAcentral. Lineage: Bacteria; Pseudomonadati; Spirochaetota; Spirochaetia; Treponematales; Treponemataceae.